This 1367-nucleotide long non-coding RNA is filed under the name Chrysemys picta bellii (western painted turtle). Its description in RNAcentral is "lncRNA (ENSCPBG00000001972.1)". Lineage: Eukaryota; Metazoa; Chordata; Testudines; Emydidae. The record is from RNAcentral.
UACUCCCCUUCGGACUGUCCACAGCCCCCCGUGUCUUUUCCAAGCUCCUAGCUGUAGUCACUGCCUACCUCAGGAAACAAGGGGUCAUAGUAUUCCCUUACCUCGACGAUUGCCUCCUCAAAGCUUCAACAUUCGACGAGGCUCUCCGGUUCACGCGGCUCACCGUCGAUUGUUUCCUAUCUCUCGGCCUACAAAUAAACAAAAACAAAUCCACAUUACGCCCCACCCAGCACCUGCAGUUCAUAGGAGCAGACCUCGACUCCCGGACGGGGUUGGCAUCUCUCCCACCCGAUCGCUUCAACUCCAUAAGCCAACUGGCCACAAUCAUUCGCAACAGUCCCCAGGUGACUGCCCGAGACUGCCUACAACUACUAGGUCACAUGGCCUUGUGCACUUUUGUCGUCCAGAAUGCACGCCUCUACAUGAGGUGCUUCCAAGUGUGGCUGGCCACGGUUUACAGACCGAAUAUGCACUCUUUAAACAAGACUCUCUCCCUACCUGUCCGAGUCAAAGAUUCUCUACACUGGUGGACCGUUCACUCCAACCUCUGCUCUGGAGUCCUGUUUCUUCAGCAGGCUCCAUCACUCAUCCUGACCACCGAUGCAUCUCUGACAGGCUGGGGUGCACACAUGUCUCACCACACAGUACAGGGGCUAUGGUCGUCAACCGAGACCUCCCUGCACAUAAAUGUCCUAGAAUUUCGAGCUAUUCGCAAUGCGUGCCGUCACUUCCUGCCACUAAUCAAGCAUCAUCACGAACGCAUAAUGACAGACAACAUUGCAUGCAUGUUUUAUGUAAACAGGCAGGGAGGAGCUCGAUCCCAUUCGCUGCGCACAGAGGCUAUGAAGCUCUGGAAUUGGUGCAUUGCGAACAACAUCCGGGUAUCAGCUGCCUAUCUUCCCGGGGUAAUGAACACCACAGCGGACGAACUGAGCAGACGCUUCCCAUGGGACCACGAGUGGGAGAUAGACGAGAAAACCAUUCACAACGUAUUUAGCACUUGGGGUUACCCAACAGUAGAUCUUUUUGCAACUACAAAAAACAAGAAAUGUCCCAAUUCCUGCUCCAGAGCAGGACUGGGCAAACAUUCCCUGGGGGACGCAUUCAUGAUCUCAUGGCACCGAAACCUACAGUAUGCUUUUCCUCCGAUACCAGUUCUCAACAGGGUCCUGAUAAAAAUACGAACGGACCGAGCCAAGGUGAUCCUCAUUGCCCCGUCGUGGCCCAGACAACCGUGGUUUCCGUUCCUCACCAGAAUGUCGAUUCAGCCACCAAUCUCCUUGCCUCUCAUUCCAAACCUCCUAUCUCAACAACACGGCCGCUUUCUCCAUCCCAACCUGUCCAUGCUUCACCUCAAAGCCUGGUUC